GCUCCACCCAGAGGCCAACAGUACACAUUUGGGGACAGAGAGAGUGGAAGAGUUGCCCCUUCUCCAGGGCCACUGGGACUAGGGGCAAAAGGGAGGUCAUUUUCUGAAUGCUUUAGAUACAGCAGCUGAAACAAAACCAGAGAGGAUUCUGGGAGCCAGAGAGGAGCAGAGACAGAUGAUUCUUUGCCCUCCUCCUUCCUCUAGUCACUUCAGGAGGAGAAGGACAAAAAGGGGGAAAGCUGAGGGGACAGAGCCAGAGCAGCACAAUGGGACCUCCCUGGAGCCAGGAGAGUUCUCCAGAAGAGAGGCUUCCCACUGAAUGGAGCAGACAGUUGACAAGAGCCAGAUGGGUGCUGCUAGCUGUCCUGCUCUGUGGCCUGCUCCUUGGUUCUUCUAUGCUUUGGUUUUACAUCUUCCGGAACUGUGGUCCUUGUCCAUGUGAGACACCUGUGUGUAUGGAGCUCCUGGACCAUUACCUGGCCUCUGGAAACAGAAGCGUGGCCCCCUGCACUGACUUUUUCAGCUUUGCCUGUGAAAAAGCCAAUGGGACCAGUGACUCUUUCCAAGCACUUACAGAAGAGAACAAGAGCCGACUGUGGAGACUGUUGGAGGCCCCAGGGUCCUGGCACCUAGGAUCUGGAGAGGAGAAAGCCUUCCAAUUUUAUAACUCCUGCAUGGACACAGAUGCCAUUGAAGCUUCAGGGUCUGGUCCACUCAUACAAAUUAUUGAAGAGCUUGGAGGCUGGAACAUCACUGGCAACUGGACGUCCUUGGACUUCAACCAAAAUCUGAGGCUUCUGAUGAGUCAGUAUGGCCACUUUCCAUUCUUCCGAGCCUAUCUACGACCUCAUCCAGCCCCUCCACAUACACCAAUCAUCCAGAUAGACCAGCCGGAGUUUGACAUUCUUCUCCAGCAAGAGCAGGAACAGAAGGUCUAUGCUCAGAUCCUACGGGAAUAUGUGACAUACCUGAAUAGGCUGGGAACAUUACUGGGGAGUAACCCACAGGAAGCACAACAGCAUGCCUCCUGGUCCAUCGUCUUUACCUCCCGGCUGUUCCAGUUUCUGAGGCCACAGCAGCAGCAGCAGGCACAGGACAAGCUCUUUCAUGUGGUUACUAUUGACGAACUGCAGGAAAUGGCCCCAGCCAUCGACUGGUUAUCCUGUUUACAAGCAAUAUUCACACCGAUGUCACUGAAUUCCUCCCAGACCCUCGUGGUCCAUGACCUAGACUACUUGAGAAACAUGUCACAACUUGUAGAAGAAGGGCUGCUGAAUCACAGGGAGAGUAUACAGAGCUACAUGAUCUUGGGGCUGGUGGAUACCCUUUCACCAGCACUGGACACUAAAUUCCAGGAGGCACGCAGAGAACUGAUCCAGGAACUACGGAAACUGAAAGAACGACCACCCCUGCCAGCCUACCCUCGAUGGAUGAAGUGUGUGGAACAGACGGGAGCCUUCUUUGAGCCUACUCUGGCAGCUCUGUUUGUUCGUGAAGCUUUUGGCCCAAGCAUUCAAAGUGCUGCCAUGGAAUUAUUUGCUGAGAUAAAGGAUGCUGUCAUCAUACGCCUCAAAAAGCUUUCCUGGAUAAGUGAGGAGACCCAGAAAGAGGCCUUGAACAAGCUUGCCCAACUGCAGGUGGAGAUGGGGGCACCAAAACGGGCCGUGAAGCCUGACAUAGCCACACAGGAAUAUAAUGAUAUACAACUUGGUCCUAGUUUCCUUCAAUCUUUCCUGAGCUGUGUACGAUCCCUCCGGGCCAGAAAUGUCCAGAGCUUCUUGCAGCCCUUUCCCUACCACAGAUGGCAGAAAUCUCCCUGGGAGGUCAAUGCUUACUAUUCAAUAUCUGACCAUAUGGUGGUCUUCCCUGCUGGUCUUCUCCAACCUCCAUUCUUCCACCCUGGCUACCCCAGAGCUGUGAACUUUGGCGCUGCUGGCAGCAUCAUGGCCCAUGAAUUGUUGCAUAUCUUCUACCAACUCUUACUCCCUGGGGGCUGCCCAGCCUGUGACACCCAUGUCCUACAAGAAGCACUUCUAUGCCUGGAGCGCCAUUAUGCUGCCUUCCCUUUGCCUAGCAUAUCCUCGUUCAAUGGUUCUCACACACUCCUGGAAAAUGCUGCAGACAUAGGAGGCGUAGCCAUUGCAUUCCAGAUGGCAACUUGGGACCCUCUUCCUACGCUGUAGAUCCCCCACCUACUAAGACAUCUGUAGGUCUUUCAGCAUAUAGCAAGAGGAUAGUAGAGCACACUGGGGAGUUGACCCUGCCCAACCUGGAUCUUAGCCCCUAUCAACUUUUCUUCCGAAGCUAUGCCCAGGUAAUGUGUAGGGGGCUGAGCUCACAAGACCCUCAGGACCCUCACAGUCCUCCAAGCCUUCGAGUCCAUGGGCCCCUGAGCAAUACUCCAGAUUUUGCCAAACAUUUUCAUUGUCCACGUGGGACCCUUCUGAAUCCCUCUGCCCGCUGCAAGCUCUGGUAAAACUUGGCUACCAAAGAGACUGAUGUAAAUGCAUGGGCUGCUUGUGAGUCCAUCCUUGAAGUCAAAAUAAAUCUCUCUCUUCUUUCUGUUCCCAAAUAAAAGCGUGUAUUUAGCUUUU
Molecule: RNA transcript, 2594 nt
Organism: Mus musculus (house mouse)
Lineage: Eukaryota; Metazoa; Chordata; Mammalia; Rodentia; Muridae
Gene: Kel
Gene name: Kell blood group
Exons: 20
Source: RefSeq, marked validated